This 2912-nucleotide ribosomal RNA is filed under the name Colemanosphaera charkowiensis. RNAcentral's name for it is "23S ribosomal RNA". It matches the Rfam family "Bacterial large subunit ribosomal RNA". The record is from RNAcentral. Lineage: Eukaryota; Viridiplantae; Chlorophyta; Chlorophyceae; Chlamydomonadales; Volvocaceae.
UAAGGUCAAAUGAACUAAGGCGUACGGUGGAGACCUAGGCACUCAGAGACGAAGAAGGGCGCAGAUACCGGCGAUACGCUUCGGGGAGCUGGCAACAAGCUUUGAUCCGAAGAUUCCCGAAUAGGGCAACCUCAUAGAACUACCUAUAUAAUUCAUAGUUAGGUAAGAGGCAACCCAGUGAACUGAAACAUCUAAGUAGCUGGAGGAAAAGAAAGCAAACGCGAUUCCCGUAGUAGCGGCGAGCGAACCGGGAAAUGGCCUAAACCUACAUCGCAAGAUGUAGGGGUCGUGGGAGGACAGUAAAAAAUAAAAAUUUUUAAUACGAAGCAGCUGAAUCCUGCACCAUAGAUGGUGAAAGUCCAGUAGUAAAAAGAAAAUUUGAUUUUUGUCUAAUCCCGAGUAGCAUGGGGCACGUGAAAUCCCGUGUGAAUCAGCGAGGACCACCUCGUAAGGCUAAAUACUCCUGAGUGACCGAUAGCGAAAUAGUACCACGAGGGAACGGUGAAAAGAACCCCUGUUGGGGAGUGAAAUAGAACAUGAAACCGUAUGCUGACAAGCAGUGGGAGCAAGAAUGCUUGUGACCGCGUGCCUGUUGAAGAAUGAGCCGGCGACUUAUAGGAAGUGGCUGGGUUAAGGAGUAAAAUCCGGAGCCCAAGCGAAAGCGAGUCUGAAUAGGGCUAUUAUUAGGUCACUUCUUAUGGACCCGAACCCGGGUGAUCUAUUCAUGGCCAGGAUGAAGCUUGGGUAACACCAAGUGGAGGUCCGAACCGACCGAUGUUGAAAAAUCGGCGGAUGAGCUGUGAAUAGGGGUGAAAUACCAAUCGAACUCGGAGCUAGCUGGAUCUCCCCGAAAUGCGUUGAGGCGCAGCGGUAACGAUGAACUAUCUCGGGGUAAAGCUACUGUUUCGAUGCGGGCUGCGAAAGUGGUACCAAGUCGUGGCAAACUCAGAAUACAAGAUAUGUCUUCCGUGAACCAGUGAGACUGUGGGGGAUAAGCUUCAUUGUCAAGAGGGAAACAGCCCAGAUCACCAGCUAAGGCCCCUAAAUGGUUACUAAGUGGAAAAGGAUGUGAGAAUGCUGAAACAACCAGGAGGUUUGCUUAGAAGCAGCCACCCUUCAAAGAGUGCGUAAUAGCUCACUGGUAAAGCGUUCUUGCGCCGAUAAUGGCCGGGACUAAGUGACCUGCCGAAGCUGUGAUAUAUUUUAUUUAUAAUAAAUUAUAGGUAGGGGAGCGUUCUGCUUUCGGGUGAAGUUUUCACGUAAGUGGGGAUGGACGAAGCGGAAGUGAGAAUGUCGGCUUGAGUAACGAAAACAUUGGUGAGAAUCCAAUGCCCCGAAAACCUAAGGGUUCCUCCACUAGGUUCGUCCAUGGGGGGUGAGUCAGGACCUAAGACUAGGCCGAAAGGCGUCGUCGAUGGAAAACAGGUUAAUAUUCCUGUACUAAUUAAAUUAUGAUCUGAGGGACGAAGGAGGCUAAACUAGAACUGUUUUUGGAUUGCAGUGGAAGCGUUUAGACGUUGAGAGAUAGCAAAAAAGCUAUUUUGAGUGGAGGCGUAAUCCCUAUUUAAUGGUUCGCUGUUGAGUAGCUAGUGAUGUCAUACUUCCAAGAAAAGCUCAUACAUCUUUAUAUUUUAAUUACCUGUACCUGAAACCGACACAGGUAGGUUGGUAGAGAAUACCAAGGGGCGCGAGAGAACUCUCUCUAAGGAACUCGGCAAACUGGCCCCGUAACUUCGGAAGAAGGGGCGCCCAAAAUUAAUUUUUUGGGUCGCAGUGACCCGGCCCAGGCGACUGUUUACCAAAAACACAGGUCUCCGCAAAGUCGUAAGACAAUAUAUGGGGGCUGACGCCUGCCCAGUGCCGGAAGGUUAAGGAAGUUGGUUAUUUCGCAAGAAAAAAGCUGACGACCGAAGCCCCGGUGAACGGCGGUCGUAACUAUAACGAUCCUAAGGUAGCGAAAUUCAUUGUCGAGUAAGUUUCGACCUGCACGAAAGGCGUAACGAUCUGGGCGCUGUCUCGGAGAGAGGCUCGGUGAAAUAGACUUGUCCCGUGAAGAUGCGGACUACCUACACCUGGACAGAAAGACCCUAUGAAGCUUGACUGUAUCUUGGAAUUGGGUUUGGGCUUUUCUUGCGCAGCCUAGGUGGGAGGCUAUGAAGAUUACCUUCCGGGGUAGUUGGAGCCGUCAUUGAGAGACCACUCUGGAAGAGCUAGAAUCCUAAUGGGGAUCCUUGAAUCGGGACCCUUGACAGUUUCAGGUGGGCAGUUUAUUUGGGGCGAAUGCCUCCUAAAAGGUAACGGAGGCGUGCAAAGGUUCCCUCAGUCUGGACGGAAAUCAGACAUUGAGUGUAAAGGCAAAAGGGAGCUUGACUGCAAGACCUACAAGUCGAGCAGGGGCGAAAGCCGGCCUUAGUGAUCCGACGGUGCCGAGUGGAAGGGCCGUCGCUCAACGGAUAAAAGUUACUCUAGGGAUAAAACAGGCUGAUCUUCCCCAAGAGUUCACAUCGACGGGAAGGUUUGGCACCUCGAUGUCGGCUCAUCACAUCCUCGGUCUGUAGUAGGUCCGAAGGGUUGGGCUGUUCGCCCAUUAAAGUGGUACGUGAGCUGGGUUCAAAACGUCGUGAGACAGUUUGGUCCAUAUCCGGUGUAGGCGUUAGAGCAUUGAGAGUAGCCUUUCAUAGUACGAGAGGACCUGAAAGGACAUGCCAAUUGUGUACCAGUUCUCAUUCCAAUGGGAAACGCUGGGUAGCUACGCAUGGAUAGAUAACUGCUGAAAGCAUCUAAGUAGGAAGCUAAACUCAAGAUGAGUGCUCUCUAAGGCCGCGGCUAGACAAGCCGUUAUAUAGGUAUCAGGUGUACAGUCAGCAAUGGCUUCAGCCGAGAUAUACUAAAGGCCGUUUGAUUUUGACCUU